UACCCGAAUAAGAAGGUCCGGCUAACUUCGUGCCAGCAGCCGCGGUAAUACGAAGGGACCUAGCGUAGUUCGGAAUUACUGGGCUUAAAGAGUUCGUAGGUGGUUGAAAUAGUUGGUGGUGAAAUCCCAGAGCUUAACUCUGGAACUGCCAUCAAAACUUUUCAGCUAGAGUAUGAUAGAGGAAAGCAGAAUUUCUAGUGUAGAGGUGAAAUUCGUAGAUAUUAGAAAGAAUACCAAUUGCGAAGGCAGCUUUCUGGAUCAUUACUGACGCUGAGGAACGAAAGCAUGGGUAGCGAAGAGGAUUAGAUACCCUCGUAGUCCAUGCCGUAAACGAUGUGUGUUAGACGUUGGAAAUUUAUUUUCAGUGUCGCAGCGAAAGCGAUAAACACACCGCCUGGGGAGUACGACCGCAAGGUUAAAACUCAAAUGAAUUGACGGGGACCCGCACAAGUAGUGGAGCAUGUGGUUUAAUUCGAAGAUACGCGCAGAACCUUACCAACACUUGACAUGUUCGUCGCGACUUUAAGAGAUUAAAGUUUUCGGUUCGGCCGGACGAAACACAGGUGCUGCAUGGCUGUCGUCAGCUCGUGUCGUGAGAUGUUGGGUUAAGUCCCGCAACGAGCGCAACCCUCACUUUUAGUUGCCAUCAUUAAGUUGGGCACUCUGAAAGAACUGCCAGUGAUAAGCUGGAGGAAGGUGGGGAUGACGUCAAGUCCUCAUGGCCCUUACGUGUUGGGCUACACACGUGCUACAAUGGUAUCUACAACAGGAAGCAA
RNAcentral lists this ribosomal RNA (776 nucleotides) under marine metagenome. RNAcentral describes it as "bacterial SSU rRNA". It matches the Rfam family "Bacterial small subunit ribosomal RNA", at positions 476 to 1252 of the family's 1533-position model. The record is from RNAcentral.